GAUGAACGCUGGCGGCGUGCUUAACACAUGCAAGUCGAACGAUGAAGCCCAGCUUGCUGGGUGGAUUAGUGGCGAACGGGUGAGUAACACGUGAGUAACCUGCCCUUGACUCUAGGAUAAGCCCGGGAAACUGGGUCUAAUACUGGAUAGGAACGUCUACCGCAUGGUGGGUGUUGGAAAGAAUUUCGGUCAUGGUUGGACUCGCGGCCUAUCAGCUUGUUGGUGAGGUAAUGGCUCACCAAGGCGACGACGGGUAGCCGGCCUGAGAGGGUGACCGGCCACACUGGGACUGAGACACGGCCCAGACUCCUACGGGAGGCAGCAGUGGGGAAUAUUGCACAAUGGGCGAAAGCCUGAUGCAGCGACGCCGCGUGAGGGAUGACGGCCUUCGGGUUGUAAACCUCUUUCAGUAGGGAAGAAGCGAAAGUGACGGUACCUGCAGAAGAAGCACCGGCUAACUACGUG
This 465-nucleotide ribosomal RNA is filed under the name uncultured bacterium. RNAcentral describes it as "partial 16S ribosomal RNA". It matches the Rfam family "Bacterial small subunit ribosomal RNA", at positions 28 to 507 of the family's 1533-position model. The record is from RNAcentral.